CUCGCGGAUGAUCCAAACCAUGCAUAGUUCACACUGAAUUCAAUGUGGAACACUAACAUCUUGUCUUUCGCUCCUAACUGAUCCCCCUU
RNAcentral lists this small nucleolar RNA (89 nucleotides) under Rhizoctonia solani AG-8 WAC10335. Its description in RNAcentral is "Small nucleolar RNA snR60/Z15/Z230/Z193/J17". It matches the Rfam family "Small nucleolar RNA snR60/Z15/Z230/Z193/J17". From Rfam's summary of the family: The members of this family belong to the C/D class of snoRNAs which contain the C (UGAUGA) and D (CUGA) box motifs. Most of the members of the box C/D family function in directing site-specific 2'-O-methylation of substrate RNAs. Lineage: Eukaryota; Fungi; Basidiomycota; Agaricomycetes; Cantharellales; Ceratobasidiaceae. The record is from Rfam by way of RNAcentral.